RNAcentral lists this long non-coding RNA (34893 nucleotides) under Ananas comosus (pineapple). RNAcentral describes it as "long non-coding RNA (ACOM_LNC002366)". The record is from RNAcentral. Lineage: Eukaryota; Viridiplantae; Streptophyta; Magnoliopsida; Poales; Bromeliaceae.
AAUUAAAUUAUUGUAUUCCAUUUUAUAUUUUUUCAUAUCGGUCCUUAGUCGAAAAAUAAGGAGGAUAUGAACAUGAUUAUUCAAUCACCAUGUUUAGAAAUGAUGACUAGAUCACCAUCUUCAACUUAACAUGGCUGACGUGGCUAUUUAUGCAAAUAUAAAUUUGCUCAAGCCAUUUGUGAAAAAAAAGAUUUGAAGGAGCUAAAUGCAAAAAACCCUAUAGGUUUAUCAAUAAUAAUCUUAAAUAUUUAUUAUUUAUUCAGAAACCCACAUGGAAAACAAAGGGUCAUUUCUAUUGAAGUUUUUUGGAGUCAAUCGUGUAAUAAUAAUUUCGAUGCUAAACAUAAAAAUACACACUAAAUAAUCUGUUUUUAACCUCAAUACAACUAAAUCCGCGAAGGAUUAUGUUAACUAGUAUAAUAAUUUUUACUCUUUUCAGGGUGUUAUAUGUAAAAUGUCAAUAAUAUAUGUAUUGGUUUUAGGGUUAUGGAAAUCAAGCCCUAAUACCUUGUUCCCCCAAUUCUCUGUUUACCAUCAUGGUAUCAGAGCCAUAUCUCCAUUGAAGAAAAAAAAAGAAAACGGGAGAUGAGAGGAACACUCGAUAGUUCCCAAUCGCGUUCUUGUUAACGAUCGGGGCCUCCACGACCAGGAUCUCUAGCCACCAUCGUUCCACGAUAAAAUAAAAACAGCAGGGCGAUUUGGUGACAGCGGCUAUCUCUUCUCCACAGGCCACGACCAUUAUUAUCAUCCCAAUUGAGACAUGUCUGAGGACUCGGAAGUGAGUGGAAGCAAGACCACUGCCACUCGUAGUGAGCCAAAGAUGGUUGCGUCGGUGACGGAUAGUCCCUCUCUUCAGAUCAGUCCGAUAAAACUUGAUGGUCACAAUUAUCUCGCUUGGUCUCGAUCCUGUUUGUUGUUUAUUAAGGCCCGAGGCCUUCAAGACUAUAUAACAGGUACAAAGAAGAGGCCAGCAGAUGAGGAUCCUCUCAUAAACCAAUGGGAGUCAGAGAAUUCCCUUGUGAUGUCGUGGCUUCUAAAUUCUAUGCAAUCAGCAAUAGGUUGUGGUUACUUAUUCCUUGAUUCUGCUUACAAGAUCUGGACAGCUGCUGCUCAAACAUACUCUAAAGUUGGCAAUGAUGCUCUUGUGUAUGAAAUUAGGAAGAAAAUACAUGAGACUAAGCAAGAGGAAAUGACCGUGGCGCAGUAGUUUGCUGAACUCAGCAGUUUAUGGCAAGAGCUAGACUACUAUCAAGAUUUUCAUGCUGAAUGUCCAGAAGAUACAACCAAGUUCCAGAAAUUGAUGGAAAAAGAAAGAAUCUAUGAUUUUUUAGCAGGCCUUCAACCUGAAUUUGAUCCAAUCAGGGUUCAAGUGCUUGGAAGAGAUCCUUUCCCUUCGCUACGAGAGGCGUAUGCAUAUGUACAACGAGAAGAAAGCAGAAGGAAUGUGAUGGUACAUCAAAUUACUCCCGAUAAAUCAGCAUUGCUUACAAACCUUUCUUUGAGGAGCGUAACAGGAAAUCAGAGCAAAGUAGGUGCUCCGGGAGUGGUCGAUAAGGACCAGCUUAUGUGCGAUCAUUGUGGGAGGACAAGACACACUCGCGAGACAUGCUGGAAACUUCAUGGACGGCCUACUAGAGGACGAGGAAAAGGUGGAUUAGGGAGAGGAUCUGGAAGAAGGCAAGCAUAUCAAUCCGAAUUGAUGGAGUCUUAUUCUCAAGAGGGAACUCCAUUAGGAUCUGACAACUUCUCUCAGGAAGAUUUGCAAACACUUAGGAAAUUGAUGUCCAAACUUGAUUCUAGUUCUAGUUCCUCUAAAACUACAAUUGCCUCUGCAUCUAAUUUUGCUCUUUCAGGUAUGUCCAUUAGUGCUUUACAUUCCGUUAGGAAUAAUAUUUCUCCUUGGAUCAUUGAUUCUGGUGCUUCUGAUCAUAUGACGGGUGUGUCAAAUCAUUUUUUAUCAUACUUUCCUUCUUCAGGCAAAGAAAAAGUUCGUAUUGCCGAUGGUUCUUUUUCGUCUGUUUCUGGCAAAGGUUCUAUAGCUUGCACUUCCGAUCUAACUUUGUCUUCAGUUCUUCAUGUUCCUAGUUUUCCUAAUAAUCUAUUGUCUAUCAGUGCUAUAACUAGGGAUCUUAAUUGUAAAGUCACUUUCUUUCCAUCCCAUUGUGUUUUUCAGGAUCUGGAGACGGGGAGAACGAUUGGCUUUGGUAAAGUGCAUGAUGGGCUUUAUCUCCUAGAGGAAGAGUCAGAAAGAGUAUUUGCGCAUCAUUCCGCUCAUCAGACUGAAGUGACGUCGACUUGUCAAGAGAUAUUCCAAUGGCAUCUUCGACUUGGUCACCCUUCUUUUCAAAUAAUGGAGAAAAUGUUUCCUCAGUUAUUUCAGAAGUGUAAUCCUGAACUUCUUACAUGUGAUGCUUGUGAGCUUGCAAAGCAUACGCGUGUUACUUAUUCAAUUAGUGAUAAUAAAAGCACUUCUCCUUUUGAAAUUGUUCAUUCAGAUGUGUGGGGUCCUACUAGGGCGGCAUCUAUUUCUGGAUAUAGAUGGUUUGUUACUUUCAUUGAUGAUUACAGUCGUACAACUUUGGUGUAUCUAAUGCACAACAAGAAUGAAGUGUUUUCUUGUUUCAAACUAUUUCAUAAGAUGGUAGAGAACCAAUUUAGUACUAAGAUCAAAAUUUUCCGAUCUGAUAAUGGUAAAGAGUAUAUUGAGAAUGCAUUUCAAAAUUACCUACAUGAUCUUGGAGUCUUACAUCAAACUAGUUGUGUUAACACCCCAGCACAAAAUGUAGUGGAGAGAAAAAAUCGGCGUUUACUUGAGGUUGCUCGUUCGUUGCUAUUUUCCAUGAAUGUACCAAAAAAUUACUGGGGUGAUGCUAUUUUGUCGGCAGCGUACUUGAUUAAUCGAGUGCCACUGCGGGCAAUCAACUUCAAAACCCCUCUUGAAAAAUUGUUGGGUACUACUUAUUAUACUGUCCUUCCGAAAGUAUUUGGGUGUAUUUGUUUUGUGCAUGAUCACCGAAGGACGAAUGAUAAGCUUGAUCCUCGGGCUAUGAAAUGCAUUUUUAUUAGGUACUCUACUACACAAAAAGGGUAUAAAUACUAUCAUCCAUCUUCAAGGAAGACGUUUAUCACAAUGGAUGUAACAUUUAGGGAACAUGAGGCGUACUAUUCACGUCCAUCUUCUGAGGGGGAAAAUCAAUCUGUGAAAGAACAGAUGAAUGUAUGUACAACUGAUGUGCCAAAAUGGACUUCGAUGCUUAAGUUUCCUCAAGCAGAAGAGGAAGAAAGAGAAAGAUGAUGAGUCUCAACAAGUUGAAGAGGAAAAUAAGAAAAAUAAUGCAGAAGAGGAAUUUGAACAGCUGCAAGAAUUGGAAGACAAUGAAGGGAACAAAGAAAAAGAUAGAGUUGAGGGGGAGGAUAGAGUUGAGGGGGAGAAAGUACGACAACAUGCUGAGGAGACGAAUGUUGGCGAAUGGCAAGUGUACACAAGAAAAAGGAGAAAUAAAGCCAUCUUGCACUCUCCAUCUAGCCAAGAGUUAUCUCCGGAUCUAGUUCCUUCUUCUCAACUUCAAAACCACUGUAAGUCUUUAACAAACGUGCAUCCUAUCAACUCUAUUCCUGAUGAUCUCAAUGUUCCUAUUGCUCUUAGAAAAGGUGUUAGAAAUCGUUCUAAACAUCCAAUCUCUGAUUUUAUUUCAUAUGCUUCAAUGUCUCCUUCAUAUAGAGUCUUUUUGUCAUCUUUAUCUUCUGUUUAUGUUCCACAAAAUUGGAAAGAGGCAAUUGUAGAUCCCAAAUUGAAGGAAGCGAUGCUUGAGGAGAUAAAGGCUUUGGAAAAAAAUAGAACUUGGGAGCUUGUCAACCUACCAGUUGGAAAAAAUAUAGUAGGAUGUAAAUGGGUUUUUUCAGUGAAGUUUAAAGUAGAUGGAUCUAUUGAGAGAUACAAAGCCAGACUUGUUGCAAAAGGAUUUACACAAACUUACGGAAUUGAUUAUCAGGAAACUUUCGCUCAUGUGGCAAAAUUGAACUCUAUUCGCAUUCUUUUGUCGUGUGCUGCCAACUUAAGUUGGGACCUACAACAGUUUGAUGUGAAGAAUGCUUUCUUACACGGUGACCUAAAAGAAGAGGUGUAUAUGGAGCUUCCGAUGGGGUUCUCCUCAGAAAAGACAGUUGGAAAAGUGUGCAAGCUAAGAAAAGCUUUAUACGGCUUGAAACAAUCACCAAGAGCUUGGUUUGACAGAUUUAGUAAGGCAUUGCUGCAAUUUGAGUAUAAACAGAGCAAUGCAGAUCACACUAUGUUCAAAAAAAGGUGUAAUGAAAAAAUUACUAUCCUAAUUGUUUAUGUUGAUGACAUAGUGGUAACAGGAAACAAUUCAGAGGAAAUAAGAAAGCUUAGAGAUUAUCUCGCAAAAAAUUUUGAAAUAAAAGACCUAGGAAAGUUGCGAUAUUUUCUUGGUAUUGAAGUGGCAAGAUCAGAUAAGGGUAUAUUCAUAUCACAACGAAAAUAUGUUUUAGAUCUACUCCAGGAAACAGGUAUGCUUGGAUGUCGACCUAUAAAUUCACCAAUUGAGCCAAAUCAUCGCUUGAAAGCUGAAGUAGGAGAAGUGGUUGAUAAGGAGAGAUAUCAAAGGUUGGUUGGAAAAUUGAUUUACUUGUCCCACACUCGGCCAGACAUAGCAUAUGCUGUGAGCGUAGUGAGUCAGUAUAUGCAUGAUCCUAGAAAAUCACACUUGGAGGCAGUUAAAGUUCAUAUUCCAACGAAUCACACGUAGAGAUAUUGAUAACACACAUAGAGUUAAUGGUAUUUCAUAACUAAUAGAUUGAGCAGCAGGUCGUAGACCACCUAAAAAGGAAUAUUUAUUUUGAGGUACCUAAAAUCAGCUCCAGGAAGAGGGCUUCUAUUUCUAAACCAUGGUCACCUGAAGAUCGAGGCAUUCAGUGAUGCAGAUUGGGCCGGCUCUCUAGAUGAUCGGAGAUCUACAUCGGGUUUUUGCACACUUGUAGGAGGUAACUUAGUCACCUGGAGAAGCAAGAAGCAAACAGUUGUUGCCAGAUCAAGCGCAGAGGCAGAAUAUAGAGCAAUGGCACAAGGCACUUGCGAGUUGCUUUGGAUAAAAAAAUUUGUGGGAGUUGGGGCUACAGCAUACUACACCACUAAUGUUGUAUUGUGACAACACGGCAGCUAUUAACAUUGCACAUAAUCCAGUACAACAUGAUAGGACAAAACAUGUUGAAGUUGAUAGAAAUUUUAUUAAAGAAAAGCUGGACAAAGGGGUCAUCUGCAUUCCAUUUGUUAGGUCACAGAACCAACUAGCAGAUAUUUUAACUAAAGGAUUGGGGAGUAUGACAUUCAAUUCUAUUAUAUACAAGAUGGGCAUGAGAAAUAUCUAUGCACCAUCUUGAGGGGGAGUGUUAACUAGUAUAAUAAUUUUUACUCUUUUCAGGGUGUUAUAUGUAAAAUGUCAAUAAUAUAUGUAUUGGUUUUAGGGUUAUGGAAAUCAAGCCCUAAUACCUUGUUCCCCCAAUUCUCUGUUUACCAUCAGAUUAGAUAUAAACAUAUAAUCAAGACACGAAGAAUCACAUGCCAAAUACCAAAAAAUACAACUCUGAAAGAAGGAUACCAAAAAGCUGGCGCAGAAAUAUCACAUAACACAUGGUUUUGAAUGAACAGAAACCAGUAAUAAGAAGCUAAAAUAGGAUGUGAAAAUUUAGGAAUAUAAGAAGGUCUCUCGCGCGCAAUCCUUGUAUUUGUAUCUCUACUGUAUCUUUAUCACUUCACAGUUUUUUGUAUCCGAGCAUAGUCCUGCAGAAAUUUUUCAAAGGAAAAAAAUGAGUCCAAAAUCAGUAAGCUAAGAUGGAAAAAGAAAAAGAAUGCAAAUAGUAUUUUUCUACGUAUUCCGAUUACUAAUUGCAAAGUGUUUCGUCAUUUUUUUCAUAAGUGGAUGCAAAAAAACAAAUAGCGUAAUAGCGCACUAUGCACAUGAGCAUUUUUCUCUCUGAGAAGAGGAAAAGAAGUUCUGCUGAUUCGCCAAACUUUUCAUACAGAACCUAAAAAUGCACCACGUGCUAUGCGAAAGUGAGUUAAACAAAUGUAGAGGUACCAAUUCCUGCCCUUAUAUUCUAGCUACAGUAUAAGCGGCAAAACAUUUCUGAUUGGGCCUCUCCUACUGACAAGGAGAUGUACAAUCCGAUUAAGUACAUAUUCUGCAUCCAACAAAAGGGAGGUAAUUUCGGCUAGUCUCCAUAGUUAUAUUAAUCAGCUGAAAUUUUUCUCUCAGGAGAUCUAGCUUGAACCCAGAUCUUCUAAAAGAAUCCAAAAUGAUAGCCAUAAAUAGGCAUGGAGUUAGUCGUUGCUCUCCCGCGUAAAGAGUCCACGAUUAAUUUACGUAUCAUGAACAUUAUUGAAUGUGGGUUCGGCAGUGAGAAUGUAAUUAACCACCGUUCAGCGAGCAUCAUUCCACAAAUCAUCCGCAUUUUCUCAACCUCUGAUAGGGAAACUUUUUCACAUUGAAUAUCAAAUUGUACAUGUAAGUAGGGACAGCGUACCUCGCCGUCGUCGUCAUCAUCACCCUUCUUGAGGCGCGUAGUUCCACCCUCUCGGCUGAUGGGCAACUUCAUGUUCCCGAAAGGAGUGUCCACAUCAAUAUUUCCUUUUAUGGUAUAACCAGUACCCCUCCCCCUAAGCAUAUCCCAAAGAGCGGAUCCGAAGUCCUUCGGCUUGAAAGAAAUCGGAAGCUGCAUUGAAGUAAUUCCACGCUUCGCAAGUUUCGUGGAUUGAGUGAGCUCGGCAGAUCCAAUGCUCACGUCUGUGAGCCAAAUCUGAUAAUCCAGUGCAUUGAGUCCCAAGUCGAAGUCAUUUUUGUUAUCCAAUUUCAAAUGGAGGUUGGCAGUCGUUUCCUCGAACGAGAAUUUUUCAAACUUUAUCUUUUCAACAUCAACAUCUGGCUUAUAAGGCACGGGAAUCUCACCGGUCUUCUCUAGAGGCAAGGUGAGCCUUCCGAGAAUAGGCACAUCCACAAUGAGAGCAACCCUUAUCUUAUAGGGGAUGAUGCUUCCGGGCUCGAUAUCUUUGUAUGUGCUCUUGAUAUCGUCAUAGAUAAGUACUACAGGUAUCUUGACGGUCUCUGAACCAUGAGCAUGUAUUGUUCCCGCGUCAGGGAUUAAACCCGACACGAGUUUACGUCCGUCACUUUCAAUUAAGUAGUCUAUGUCUACGAGAGGGAUCGGGACAGGAUUGGGGUUUGUAAUCAGAACAUCGACAACGAUCUCAGCCUUCUCUAGAUUGAUGUGGGGAAUGUGGACACCGGUGACAUCUGCAGUUGGCUUUCCGAACCCUAUCGCCCCCUCGAUCUUCUCGCCAAUGUCCUGAAUAAAAUCUUUAACCUUCUCCAUGAAACCACCCUUCUCUUCUUCCUUGUCUUCCUCCUUGUUCUCUCUAUCUACUCUUACUUCCUUUAUCUCUGGGUUGUCGGAGGAUGCCAUGCCUAAAAAUACCCGAUGGCACGUGUUAGAAACAAGAAUAAAAGAAACAAUUCCUAGAAAAUCAUAAUAAAAUUUCCAUUCCAGAACACAAACAACUGCAAUGCGCUGCUUAUAAUUUUUAGAAAAGCUAGAUUCCUAGAAAACAUAUGAACAAGCAAAUAAUACCAACUAUACUACAUAACAAUUCUUUCUUUAUCUUCGUACUAGAAUGGCAUAGUUACAUGCUUCCUCAAAUGGAGAACACCUUUUCCUAUGAACGAAACAAUAACCUCAUGAGCAAAUUAAAUAAUGCAUCAGAUCAGGCCGCUAUAUGAUCCCAAGACAUGUAUUUAUAAAAAUAAAGGGACAAAUCGAGAACUGACCAAGUAGCAUAGAAAAAACAUAGCAGUAGAAUAUGGAACAUUUAAGUUAAAAAAAAAAGAAAAAGAGAGAGAACUAGUGACAUAAAUUUUCACUUUAACUUGACCACAAUUACAAUUUACCAGAAAUCCGUUUAUACGAGAACGAAAGGAUGUCAGACUACCAAGAACCAGCAUUCUGAAACUGUCAUCCGUACUAAAACUGUGUUGGAGCAUACUAGGAAUGUUUUGGUUCAGUGUAGGGUAAUUCUUUUUCGAGACCAAGACAUUUGCAUAAGCAAUUAUGAGAACAAACCAAACCGAAACUAAUAUGCAAACCAAGGUGAACCAUUCUAAAUUGUAUUGAGAAUUUGUUCAGCUAAAAGAACUAGCAAAAAAUUAAACCGAGGAAGUAAUAUCUGAAUUGAAUAGAAUCAAAUUAAAUCUGACUUGGAUUAGUCAGGUAAAACCAGUUGCUAAGAGCAAUUUUUCGACUUUUAAGUCGUAGUAUUUCUCCUUUAGUGGAUUUAUUGCAACAAUCCAUUCAUACAACAUGCAUGACUUCUCCUUUAGCGGAUUUAUUGCAACAAUCCAUUCAUACAACAUGCAUGACUUUUAUAUCUAAUCAUGCCAUGAAAUUGCUGUAAUGUGACAUAUUUAUACUGUAUUUAUUUUGACAAAUAUUGUGCCAUUGAUACAUAUCUUUCUUAAUGAACAAUCAAACUGUGAAAACCACUAUGCCCAAUUUAAGUUGCCAAAUAACAAUAUGGUAGCAGUAUACAGAUCACACAUCAACUAACAGUGCAUUUAGAAAAUAGGGAUGACACUCCAUUAGUCCUUUGGAUGAGAAAUGAAUUAUUAUUGGGAAUAUAAGGACCGGGGGCUCUAAUAAUAAUAACUGGACUUAAGCAUUUUGAGCUAACAAGUUACUAGUAUUAUAGGUGGGACGUUACAAUUGGUAUGCGAAAUUUAAAAUGCUUGAUUUGGACAAAAUAUAGAGACUUUUUUUUAAAAUCAAGCUUGUUGAAAUUAGGGAUGUCAACUGGUCGGAUUCAGGGCGGGUUUUCAAAAACCCAAACCCAAACCCGGCUACUAAACCCGAACUACAACCCAAAUCCGACGGAUUUUAAAAAUCCAUAUCCAAACCCGAACCCGGCCAAAAAUUCGAAACCCGAACCCAAACCCGAAACAAUUAUUUUUCUUUACCAUAUUUGAGAACAUAAUACAUUAAAUCAAAGUUUUAAAAUACAAAGUCAAAUAUAACAUCAAACAUUUAUAUAUAGUAUAUAAUGUAAAAUUAAUUCGGAUUUGGGUUCAGGUCGGGUACAAACAAAAUCUAUACCGAGUCCAAAUCCCUUAGGAUUUUAUCUUUUAUACAUGUAUCCGAAACUACAUUAAUUUAGCAUCGAAUAAACCUACCCCAUUCAAGUUUGGAUUCAGAUAAAAGUUCGAAUAUCUAUACCAAUUGACAUCUCUAGUUAAAAUCUAUAAUUGGAAAGCUAAACUUGCCAAAAUUUCAUUUGUAAAAAUAGGUAUAUAUUUUGUCACGUGUGUGCGAUGCCAGCAGAUGAGAUUUAGAUAGCUAAAUAAUGCGGUAAACAAUUUAUUGUCUUCUAUAUUAUACUAGUUACAGUUAUUUUAGUAUCGUGAUAUAGAAAACAGUGAACCAUUUGGCGGUAAAUGAUUCCCCACUUUCUUUAAACUCCGCUAACGUGGCGCUGCUUUUAGGUCUAUUUUUAUAAAUAAAAUUUUCACAAGCCUAUAUCUAAAUACUUAAAUUUUGACUACCCUUCUUUUGAGAAAAGCUCCAGAAUAUUCCACCAAAAAAAAGGUUAUUAUAAGCACAGGUAGAAAAAAUAAAAAAUAAAAACUUUUAAAAGUUCUGAAACCCAUUUCAAAAGAUACCGCAACGUUGGGUAUUAAAAUCAAAAUUUUUAAAGCCCGUGAGCUAAAUAUCCAUCAGGUAAAAUUGUACGGGACUUUUCUGAAUUAUGUUCCAUUUUGAUUCGACGAUCCUUUCUCAAAAAAGAUCAUAUCGGUUUUAAAAAUUUUAAUUUUACUAUUUAAUAUUUUAAUUUAUUUUAUUUGAGCAGUACGAAGGAUCAAGUAACAUAUAUUCAGAUUAAAUUUUCUACGGAACGAGCUAUUAAAUGAUUCAACACAGGAAAUGGAAAGAGGGGAUACCGAAAUUAAAACUUUUUUACUUCAAAUCAUAAUAAAUAAAAAAUAUAAUAGGUGAGAGAUCAAUGGGCCACAAUUCACAAACGCAUCAAAUAAAACACAAAAACAAAUCAAACGGUUCAUAAAUUGUAGCUUAGAAUCACCAAAAAACAACUAAAAAUCAAAGAAUUAAGACACGAAAAGAGGAUAAAAGAAUUCAGAUCGCGACGGGAGUACGAAGCUGGGAUCAUCCUCUUUAAUUGAUCGAAGUAAAAAUUUUUGGGGAAAAAAAAUGGGGUAAUCGAAUCAAAGAGGAGAUGAGGGGGAAGAGGAUUUGAGAUCGUACCUUUCGAAAUUCGAUCCAAAAAAGCGAACGAUUUUGAUCGGGAUCGGAGGAUAUUAGCGGAGCGAGAGGGGUCGUCGGCCUUGUAAUUAGUAUUUGGUAAAAAUGUACAGAGACCCCCUCAAGAAUAGGAAAAUUUGAAAAAAUGAUCUAAAAUCUUUUUUUUGAAUAAGACCUUGGUUUUUAUAAUAAAGUAAUUUAAGUCAAAAAUAUAAAUUUCUAAAAGUUUUAUUAAUUCAUUGUUAAUUUCAUCAAUUUUAAUAAAUUUAAUUAUUUUUUAGCAAAUAAAACUAAAUUUAGAGUCACUAAAUUUGAUGAAAUUUUUUUAACUUUACGAAGUAUAAAAACUAUAAAUACUAAAAUAAAAAAAAUUAGAAGUUUAGAGGAUCUCAAUCGAAAGAAAUAGUUGAGGGUGCUCAGAAUUACCUACCGUUUAGGGUUCUCCAUCGAUUAAAAAAUAUACUCAAAUUUAAUAAUGAAAAAGGUAUUCGUUGAUGUAAACCAAAUGAAUUAGAAAAUAGUAUCAAAAUUAUAACUAUUUGGUCACUGAUUAAAAUAAAAAAAAAUUUUAGAAGUUUAGAGUAUCUUUAGUAUUUUUUUCAUAUUUCCAUACAAAUUAUUAUGGUAUGUAAAUCACAAUAAUUAUUUAUAAUAUAAUUUUUACAAUUUGACCCAAAAAAAUAUAGAGAAAUAUAUUUUUACAUAGGCGUCAAUACCUAGUAAAUUUUUAUUCCGGGUAUUAAAGUGGAGCGGUCUAUUUUCAAAUAUUUUAUAGCUAAGGGUCCCAAUGCAAUUUUCACCUUAUCCUUACAAAUUAGAUAAUGAGAGCCUUUAAUGUGAUACAUAACUGUAAGAUGUCGGCAGAUACGAAUAAAAAUUUGAUGACACGAAUCUCAAAGCAGCAUAACGAGCGGUUGGGGGGCCUAGAGGUGGGGUGGAGGAUCUCAAUGUGAGACCAUCCUAUUCGUCAACUGAUGUCAACAUAUCGGAUUCGGGCCGGAUUUUCAAAAAUCCCUAAUCCAAAAUUCGAAACCGACGUAUUUUAAGAAUUCAUAUUCAAAUUCGAAUCCGAUAAAAAAUUUGAAAGUCGAACCAGAAACAAUUAUUUCUCUUUUCAAUAUUUUAAAAUAUUUUAUAUUAAAUUUAAAAUUUUAAAAUAUAAAUUCAAAUAUAACAUCAGAUUUUAUAUACAUAUUAUAUAUUAUGUAAAAUAAAAUCGGAUUUGGGUCGGGUUCGGGUAUAGGUCGGGCACAAUCAAAAUUUAUAUUUGAAUCCAUAUCCGUUGGAUUUUUAUUUUUGAUAUCCAUAUCCGAAUACAUAUCCGUUUAGUACCGAAUAAAUCCGUUGCGUUCGGAUUCGGAUUCGAAUAAAAUUUCGGAUAUCCGUAUCCAUUGACAUCCCUACUUGUGUUCGGCUCAUUUAUUAACGUGUCGAACGCGAGCUGAAUUUUUCGAUUCAAUACUUAACUAACCGGCUCAUGUUUGAUUUGUUUAUUAAACGAGGCGAACACGAGCCGGCCCUAACUCGCUCGUGUUAAGCUCAUUGACACCUCUAAGUAGUACGACAUGGCAAUUUGUCACAUACUUUUUCAUUUUGUGACAUAUAUGAAAGGAGAAAGAAAUAGAAUCUUCUCCUAUUUUUGCUUUUCUUUUUCUUAUAGUGGCCAAACAGCUACAUGCAUGCCUAGACCAAGUAUCUUAUCUUCUUCAUAAUUUCUUCUUUGCUGCAUGUCAUCCUAAAGUAUAAGGGAUGAUAAAGAGGGAUCAAACACUGGCCACUGAAAAAGCAUAAUGAAGGAUUCAAGAAAGGUGCAUUAUUUAAGGCUCUUUUUGGUUUUUGAAAUAAACCAAAGACAACAAAAAUUAUUCUUGUUAUUCCCCCAAAUAGUGUAAAAAAAAUAACAAUAGCUAUUCUGGUCAAACUGAAUAAUUCUAGACAAUUCAAAAAUAAUUUAGAAACAACUAUUCCAUCUUCUAAGAGGAAUAAAACUAUUCUCAUACUAUACUAUCUUAGUAAUUGUUGUACAGUGAUAAAAAAAAUUAUGUUUAUACUAUAUAUAUUAUUUUUAGAUAUAUUAAAAUAUCUUAUAAUAACAAUAUAAUAAGAAUAUAACAUUAAAAUAUCUUCUUCUUCUUAUUAUUAUUAUGAGUACUGCAACAACUACUAGUGUUACUAUUAUGUUAUAUUAUAUUAUAUUAUAUUAUAUUAUAUUAUAUUUAUCUUUAUUAUUUUUAUAAAUUUAUAUUAUAUGUUAUUCUAUAAUAUAUCAUAUUAUAUAAAAUAAAAUACUAUAUAAUGUAAUAAAUAAAUUAUAUAUAUAAUGUUGUAAAAUAUAUCAUCUUUAAUUAUUUAUUUAUAUUAUUUUGAAGUAUUUUUUAUACAUUACUAUUGAAGUAUUUUAUAAAAUAAUACGAUUAUAAUAUUAUUUUAUAUAAUAUUUUAAUUUUUUAUAUUUNUUAAUAUUUAAAAUUGAGUGGACAAUUCAAAAUAUGAAACUAAUUUUUAAUUUGAACCAGAUUCAAACUUACAAUUAAUUUAAAUUUUAAAUUUAUAGAUUAAAUUCAAAAUUCUUGAUUGAAUUUAUAUUUUAACUUAAUUUCUAAAUAAAAAAUCUAGAAUUAAAAAUUUAAUUUCUAAUUUUAAAUUAGUAUUUGUAAUUAAAAAUUAAAGCCAGAAACUAAAUUUAAUUUUAAAUAAAAAAUAUAAAAUAUAAUUGAGAUAUUUUCAUAGAGUGUAUUUUCUCACCUGGAUUCAUAAAGUGCAUUUUUUCAAUUUAGGCCGGAUUGAAAAAAAGAGGUGAUUAAGAAAAUUUUUAUUCACCCAAAAAUCGGAAUCAAAAUGGAAUUCUCGUAUACCAAACAUCUACAAAUAAAUUCUCCAUUUCGACUUUGAUUUUUGGAUAAAAAAAGGGCGAACCCAAUGUAAAACUAUCUCCUUAGCGAGGAAUUCUACACGGUCACACUUGCACCUGCCACGACGUAAAGUUAGUAGUUAAUUUUAGAAAAAACUUUUUAAGUAUCAUCCAUGAUAUUUUGCACUUUUUUAUUAUAAUUUAAAAUAUACCACUUCAGUACCUGUAAUUUUAUUUUUACUAUUUUUGUUAUUUUCUAUGUUAAUUUUUUCGUUAAAUUAGUGACAAAGUUAAAACUAUAUAAUAUUAUUAAAGUGAAAAUUCGGUAAACCACAUAGUACUAAAGUGAAUAUUCGAUGGUGGGAUAUGUGAAGUGUUUUGUAUAUGAUUUAAUAGAGGAUUAAAUUGAGGUACCGACGAAAAGAAAAAAAUAAAAUCACGAAAUAUUAAAAUGAUACACUUUACACUAUAGGAUACUAGAGUGAAAAAAUGUGAAACCACAUGGGUGGUAUUUUAAGUUUACUCUUAAUUUUAUGAUUUGGAUCCAGUUGGACUCUAGUUUGGUAACGAGCUUUAAAAAUUACUUAAGUUUAUAUUUGGGAAAAAAUUAAAGAAUUAAAAAGUAUUUUUAUUUUUUUUGUUAUGCAAUAAAAUUGCACUGAUGAGUGUCACUAGAAGAGAAUGUAUUUACACUUCUAAAUUUUUUUUUACCAUUGUAAAAUAUAAAAUUAAAUAUUUUAGAAAAUGCAUAAUCAAACUAGAUCGAUGUGGCAAGGGUCAUCUUCUGUUUUUUGAGAUAAUUUUGUACAUGAAAUUCGCAAUGUGAUAUAUUUUUGGAAUAAUUUCCUCAAUACCGUUCUAAAAAAAAAUAUAAAAAAAUAAAUAAAAUAAAAAAUAAAAAAAAUUAUUAUUAUUAUUUAUCAUAUUUAGAAAUUAUUUGAUUUCAUGUGAAACUAGUUCGAAGAUCUAAAAUAUUAUAAUAAUAAAUUUUAAUUAAUAUUUUUAUCUUGUUAUAUCAUCAUAACUUCUAANGUUAUUAGUAAUAAAAUUAUUUAAUAAAAGCAUAUUGUCAAUGAUUAGAAAAAAAUAUUAAAAUUACUUAAAUAAAUCAAUAAAAUAAUAAAAAUAUAAAAUAAUAGAGAAGAUAUUAUUUUGUGCACCAGGUGUAUGAGAAAAAUUGAAAACCUAAUACACAAUACCUUCUUAAAACCCCAGAAAUUCUAUAAUUCUAUAAAUUCUAUAUUUUUUUAUAUAGUUUAGAUUAGAUUGCGUGUAUUGGAUUAGAUUUUGAUUUUACAAUAUUAAUCAUUAAAAAAUAGAUUUGAUGUAGGUAAUUUAUCAGUAGACCGGGUGUAGGCAAUAAGUUUUCAUUGUUAAGAAGGGAAAGUUAGGACAAAAUUUUACGCACCAGGUGUAUCAGUAAAUUUUAUACACUUCAUUCUUAAAACCCCAUUAUAAAAAUUUAAGCCGUGAUAAUUUUUUAAAUAUAGACAUUUUAUGUAGAGUAAAUCAUAUCAUAACUAUUACAAAAUUUUGUAUUUUUAUUUUGAAUUUAUUAUAUAAUAAUAAGUAUUUGUGUUUUCAUAUCAUUCACAUAUGGGUAUGCGUAUUCGAUCCAGACUCAAUCUGUACUCGAUUUGGAGCAGGUAGUAUACAAAUAAUCACUAUCCAGACCUGCUCAAUUGAAUCCGAUUGGUACAUUAAUAUAACUUAAGUAUCCAGAUCCAAACUGUUCCGAAGUUGAAUAGAUAAGGUAUGUGUUUUUUCUACCCAUUUUUUAGGAUAUGAGUAUAGUAUAUUACCUAUACAAAUCCGAUAUGAUCCAUAUACAUCUCUAUUGGCACGGCGGUCAUGUAUCUUGUGGAUAUUUUGUCGGCAUAGUGGCCAAGGCUCUUGCAGAUGAACACUUAAAUCCUUAAUCGAACGUUUUCUUCUAAUUAAUGGGGGAUUUAGAAUUCACUUUACUACUUAAUUUUUUUAAUUUAUUAAAAAAAUUGUAAUAUUGGGUAGAUGAAGAGUGUGAUGCAAUUAUCUUAAAUAAAAUACAAUCUUGAUCUUCAGUCAUUAUUUCGAAGUAAAAUAUAUUAUAUUUAUAAGUGAAAUAUGAUAUUCUACCAAAUGAAAUAUGAUAUUCUACCAAAUAAAAUGAGCAAAAUUCAAACUCUUUGCUUCCAAUCACAUAAAAAAAAAUUUAUAGUGAAAAGUUAUUAUCAGAUAACUUAUUCUGACAUCUAAAGAAUAUUUUUUGAUGGUAACAAAGAUUACAUUCUAGCCAUCCUUCAUUAUUCAAUAAUUCUCAAAAAUUAUCCAAAUCAUUUGUAGUCUUUAUUGCAUAAAUGAGCUGUUGGGAAAAAUCCGCAACGAAUAAUUCGAUUGUGAUAAAAUCUAACAAUUUUGCGAUGAAAUUAACAAAAUCAACUCACCGAUAAUCGCUAAAUUUCAAAAUUGUGGAAGAAGAAUAUCACAAUAUUAAUCCAGAAGCGUACGAAGCGGACGUGCGCCGAACUGUUGCGCGCGGAGCGGACGUGAGCCGAACGGACGCGCGCGGAAAGGACGCGAGCGAAACCAACGGAAAUAAUAAAAAAUAAUAAUAAUAAGGGAUUUUGAAUUUUACAUCAACAAUCCCCACAAAAAUUCAAAAUCUCAAAAUAAAAAAAAACUCAAAAAUAAAUAAAUAAAUCACUAAGACAAUAAAUAAAAAAAAAUCAAAAAUCAAUUAAUUAUCAAACCCCUCAAGUAGGGACUCCCAAACUUGCAACAGCAUUUCUGUUUCUUGAUUUAAUUAUCACUUCUAACAAUUGUAUAUAUUGCUGGCAGUAUACUAGCUAUUUGCUUGCAUCAAUGAUUUAUUUAAAAUUAUCUAAUUAAAAUUUUAAAAUUAUUUGGAUCAUCUAUUUGUUGUUAAAUCAAACCUAUGUAAUAUGGUCAAUAUCAUAUUUUUAAAAUUUUAAUGUAUCUCAGAAUUUGUGGGGGAAAACUCUUUUAUAAGUUGACAAAUUUAGGUGUUAUGAUGGUUUCUUAUUUUCACUCAUUUUGGGCGGCGAGUGCUUGAUUUUAAACAAAAUGAUAUAUUUUAAGACUAAAAGUCAUAUAAAGUUGAGAUAAAAGAUUAUCAAAUGAUUAAUUUUAUCAUAAUGUUAUUGUUUUAAAUUUUAUCAGAUCUGAAUAAAGUUUUGCAGAUUACUUAAUGAAAGGCCUGAACAGGACUAAGCUCUUGAGAUCAUCGAGGGGGAUGAGGCUUUGUCCAUAAAGGGCCUUCCUGCAGUGGGAAUCCAACAUUUGUAAUAGGAAAUCUCUUGAAGAAGGUUCAAUAUGGUAAAAACAAGCUGUCAGGUUGGCCAAAGAGCACUUUCUACAAAUUUUAUAUAGAAACUUUAGCUCCAAUCCCAUCCCUAUGGUGAGUAGUACUCUGUGUAGUGGAUUUGGUUGAGCUGAGAGCUCUUAAUGGGAUCUAAGGCAAUAAUUUUUGCGAAAUGUGAUUCUACAUACAUCCCUAGAGGAAACCACCUAUAUAAGAGUAUCCGUAUGUGGCCGCGGUUAUGUGAUAUGGGCUAUCCAUAGAAACUGUUAUGAAAAAUCAAGGUACUGUGCAUGGCCAUUUACGCACAGACCUGCGACGGAGAAUUCUGUACUGUGUGUGUGGUAGUUGAAGUCAUGGCCAAAGGAACGUAGUUCAAGAUCUGGUUCACUCCGAUUCCUUCUGAUGGAAACUAUUUACACUAAGUGAGGUUAAGUCUCUUAAAGACACAUCACCCAUUACAUAGUAUAAAACACCUAGUGAAUUUGAUUUUAAUUCGUAAUUUUAAAAUUUUGAGUUUUGUGGGGGAUUGUUGGUGAAAACUCAAAAUUUUGAGUUUGAAUUUAUUUUAUUUGAACUUUGAUGUUUUAUUAUUUAUUAUUUAUUAUUUUAUUUAUUUAUUUUAUUUUAUUUUAUUAUUUUAUUAUGUUUCUUAAUGAGAAAGAAACUAACGGGAUAUUUUUCCCGUUCAAUUUCUUAGUCCGUUUCUUGCGUCAACAGAAUCUCAGUCCGUUGCGCGAGAUACGCCUUUUUCUCGUAACGAAAAAGGGCGUUAAAUUCCCUUCAUCUUUUCCUCCUCUGUUUUUCAGAUAGAAUAAAACAGAGUAGGUACAAAAGAUAUUAAAUAAUUGAUUAAUCCUUAUUUUUUAAUAUUUCAUUUUUUUAUCCACUGGGUGUUGAGAAUCUUCGUCAACCUUCUUCACGAUCGUGCUUGCAGGAGAAGGAAUUCCGGUCGUACCUUGGCGUGUUAUUUCCGAUUAAUCCCGCACGUAAGGACGGGAAUAUGCCUUAGGGCAGUGCCUCGUACGCUUCCUGUCACGCCCCGGAUGUCUCGUUCCCCGGGUACGCUGACAAAUCCGCCGUAUACAAAGAAAUUUUUCCUGUAUACGAAGCGUCAAAGUACCUGUAGAAAUACAAUACUACAAACGGUAGCAUAGAGCUGCUCAAAAAAAAAAUAAGCUAAAUAUCUGAGUUUCAUAUACAUAGCUAGAAUCCAAAAUACAAAGCUACUCGUACUGGCGAGUUAAAUAACUAUGUACAUAAACUCCAAAACAAAACUACCUGCAGUAGGGGAAAGCCUCUAGCUCUGACUGUCGGGUAGGGCUCUAGCUCGCAACGCCCUUGCCUCGAUCCUGAUCGGCAGAAGAUGCAGCAGCCGGCACCUGUGGCUCUGCAAAACAUAAGUAACAACUGGGCGUGAGAACUACUGUAAAAACAAGUAGUCCUCAGUGGGUACCGCCCAAAACGACAUCGGUCACCCACUAAGUCUACAGAAGGGAGCAAGGAUAGAAGGAAAAGCAGGAAGUACACUCUACCGCUAUCAUCCACUACACUAUCAUGCUCUACACUAACCAACUGUAGGAAAUGUCAAAUCUGACCCAAUCCAAAUCGGGACUGUAAGCAUACCCGUCCCCGGGACUGUGAAUACACCCGUCCCUGCCCCGUUGCGACUAUCGGGCUCUAUCCACUCUAACUGGUCCGUGGAGAGCAAGAUCAAAUGGAUGAGUGGACACAACGCCGAAAGCACAACGCCUGACUCCGGAGGGCACUCGUGGGUGCUACCCAACGAGUAUCUCAGCGUAUUGCUCGAGCUCAAACAGGCGCUCGGAAAAGCAAAAGUCAAGAAACCGACUCUAAUGUUUAAAAGCCAACAGGGUAACGUGCAUCUGCACAAUCUGACGCCAAAAAGGCGAUACGGGUUCCACCGUCAUUAACGGCACCAACAGUCCGAAAUAACUGACGGACCGCGUAAAAAAUCACUCGGCGAACCAGCACGAGUGUAAAUAUAUUUUAAACUAUUGGCGAGUAUCGUCUCAAAUACUGCCGACAGUUACAUUUGUCUUAACUGGCUCUAGAGGCAAUACAAUCAGGCAGUUUAUACAAGUGACAGGUCAAAAGCGCGAAUUUUCUCCUUAUACAUUUUCAAUCAAGUCCCAAAUCGUAUAAUAUACUUAGUUUAAAACAUGCGUUGCCAAGAUUCACAUUUCACAAUCUACAGAUAAUCAGUGAAUUUUGAGCUAAAUUAGAAUACGAAAUCAAGAUCCUGAUACAUGGUUGACCAAUAAGAACUUAGUGAGUAAGCUGAUGUUGUGUAACCGACUAAAAUGCUAAGUUCCCCAGCACUAGGGGACGUCCUGAAGCAAAGGAACACCCUGCUGGAUCAAUCCGCAAACCUCCAAAGGCCAGAAAUCACGCUCCCGCCAAACUCUACACGUAAAAUCCGAAAAUGAGCACCGAUUCUGCCUCAAAAACAGCAGCAGAGAAGAGAAUAAUUCCGACCAAGAAAACCUCCACCAAAACCAGCAAGUAAGGGCUUCGUGGAUUCCUCUCGAAGUCCCGAAUCCAACGAACCAAGUCUCGUCGAAAUCCGCUGCUCCUACGUCGAGAGGGAGUCGAAACGCCGACGGUCGACGCUGGAAAUUCUGCAAAUCAGCACCAAGCUCGAAAUGACAAUACUUGAAGCAAUGCAACGGAACACUCACCUCAAAGGCUAAUCGGACAUUGACGCGGCGUCGAGAACGACGAAAACGCACCCUCGCCUAGCUUCCUCGCAGCGCUACGAUGACGAAGACCCGCUCGAACGGCACCGUGGCGCGACGUCGACGUCGAUCCGAGCUCCACGGCAACUCCACCCGAGUUCGAGCUCUCCACCUUGCCCACGAGCUAAAUUAAGGAGGGAUAGAGAGAGAAGGCUAAUUAGUUUCAAUGGGUUGAGUUGAUAAGUAUCAGGAGGGAGUUGGUGAGAUACUUAUCCACCUACUUAAAAGAUUUUUUUUUUUUCCUCACCAACUCAAAAGCUAAAGGUACUACACUUCCGGAUAAGAUCAAAUUUUUAUUAGAAUAUUUGCGUCAUCUGUAAGUUGAUUUAUUUAUCUUUAUUAUAAAUUAGUUAGAUUUUAAUCAAAAUCAGAUUUUCUUUGCGGUAUCUGUUCUAACAUGAGCCUAAAUCUAUAAAAAUCUUGUUGUCACUCCGUCAGUCUAUUUUACUUGCAAUUUGCUUUGUUGAAAGCUACAAAGAAAAUCGGAAAGUGGAAGAGAAAUCCAAAUUAAUUUGCAAAAAAUAUCAAAAAAAGCGCUUUGUCAUGACUUAAAAAUUUUCUCCAAAAUUCUUUUUUGCAACCCCUCAAACUCUAAAGGGGAUAUCUGUCGGAGGUGUUAUCCAAAUCUUCUAAAAAUAUCUCUACAGAAUCAAGACUGAUGGCACGGAUACCGAAAAGUCAAGAGCCUCUUGGGAUUUCUAGGUUUCUAGAAAAUAUAUUUGUUAGAAACUCUUAGCAGCUUGUAGACUUCUAUUUUGACUUGUAGUUUUACGUCACUUGGCACUUUUCUGUUUGAGCUAUGGGCGGCGAGUGGUCUAUAAAUAGAUGUAACCUCUACCCUCUCAACUUAGACUCCUUAUUUAUAAUCCUCUACUUCAAGCAAUAGAAAGCUAAGAGCGUUCCUCUCUCUUUCUCUCUCUCUCUCUCUCUCUCUCUCAUACUUAGUUUUAGAACGAGUAGAUUCUGACUUAGUAAAUUGAGAGGUAGACCUGCUCACUUCGCGAAAGAAGGCGAGGGGCGCAUGAACUAGACAUGCAAUUUUCCUUUAAGUCUGUCACAGCUAUGACUUGAUAUUGGUUGUCCUACUAUAUCUUUCAAUAAAAUCCAAAAAAGAAAAGCUAAUAGAAGUGCAUUAGUGAUAGGUAAAAAAGUACGAAACUAAUAUCAAAUAUGGAUAAUUUUGAAUUAGCUAUCAAAUUUUUCAAAAUUUUGAUUUUACUGUCCAAACUUUCAAUUUGUUUGACUUCAAUUAGUCGAUAACAUUUUGACUUCAAAAAUACUAUUUUAUUUAAAUUUUGGAAUUCCUUUUUAUGUGAAAAAUACUAUUUGAAUAGAGUUGUCCGCAAAAAUCCUAAUAACUUUCUACUUGAAAUUUCCUCGCCAACUUUCCACUAAAAAGUAAAUGCACAAUUUAGCUUCCUACGACAAUAGAAGCGUUUGGACUUUUUAUUUGUUUGAACUUUAGGUAGGCAUCAUGGACACUCACAUGGGAUACAACACUAUUUGGACACAGCAACUCGACAUCUUUAAAAAAAUUAGGAUACAGACCCGGUUUGGAAACAACUAAACAUAAUAUUAUUAUAUUUAUUAUAAAUAAAUAGUUAAUUUUAUUAAAAUAUUAUUAUAUUUUUCAUACGAAUAAAAGUUAAUGAAUUUUUUAUUGAUAAUUCAUAUGGUUGAAGAAAGAAAAUUCUCUGCUAUACAUAAUUUAUUAUUUAUAGUGCCAAAAAAUUUAUAUAUAUUCAUUAAAAAGUUAAAAUAAUUAUCAUUUAUACCUAUAUAUUAAUUCCCAAAAGAAAUGUCAUGUGGUUGUGUUUCUUUUAUUGUUGGGUUUUAUCCCGCAAAACCAAUCCUUUGCCUUCCCUCUCCAUCACCAUAAUCUUAACCGUAAACCUAGAAACCCAUCCAAAAGGCUCAAUCCUUCGUCUUUUCUCCGCACAUAAUGUCUAUUAAUUAAUACGUCCAUGCACCUUAACUCUAAUAUAAUCGUAAACCGUAGAAAUCCACGCAAAAACCCCCUUCUCUCUGUUAGGAUUUGAUUAGAUUUGUAGUUGAAUUCUAAUUGGAUUAGAAUUAAUUUUUAAAUCUGUUAGAGAUAAAUUAAAAUUUAAAUAUUAAUUAGAAUUUAAACCUAACUAGAUUAGAAUUAAUAUUUAAAUAUAUUAGAGAUUAAUUAAAAUAGAUUUAGAUAUUAANCAGCUCGUGUUCGGCUCGUUUACUAAACGAGCGAUUCGAUCUCGAGCUCAUUUCGAGCCGAACACGAGCUGGCUUGCGAACAGCGAGCUGGAUUGCCACCCCUACUACCAUUCUAUUUCGUAAAUUAAAUAAUGUUUAAAGCAGCAUGAUCGGAGAAUAGAAUGUUUGUACGAUGAGUGAGACAAACUCAUCUGCCAUUCAUCGUAAGAGUGGUAUGAAUUUUAAAGUCGCGUGGAUGGUAAGAGAUAGUCUCACUUUAGAGACUAUCUCCAGUAGGGCACAUUUGGUUCAAAAUGAAAAAUGAAAUCAAAAUUGGAAUCGAAAUGUAUAGGAAUCGAAGACGCAAUGAUAAAAUCUCACAAUAUGUCUGGUUCAUAAUAACAAUCGGAAUAAGUAUGAUUGAUUCAUACUUUCAGUGUUUUUUAAAAAAUUGAUUAUCAAAAAAUAACUAAAAUAAAAUUAAAAUUAAAAUUAAAAUUAAAAUUAAAAUACAAAAUCUAAAAAUAAUUUAAAAUUGAGUUUGCACUUCAAAGCAUAAAAUUAAAUUUAUAAUUUAAAUUUAAACUAAAAGUUAAAUAUUAAAAAUUUACAUCAAAAUUUUGAAAUGAUAAGCCAAAAUUUAAAAUGUAAUUUUUUAAAAUUUAAUAUUUAAAAUUGAGUGGACAAUUCAAAAUAUGAAACUAAUUUUUGAUUUGAAUCAGAUUCAAACUUACAAUUAAAAAUUUAAAUUUUAAAUCUAUAGAUUAAAUUCAAAAUUCUUGAUUGAAUUUAUAUUUUAAUUUAAUUUCUAAAUAAAAAUCUAGAAUUAAAAAUUUAAUUUCUAAUUUUAAAUUUGUAUUUUUAAUUAAAAAUUAAAGUCGGAAACUAAAUUUAAUUUUAAAAAAAAAAUAUAUAAUAUAAUUGAGAUAUUUUUGUAGAGUGUGUUUUCUUAUCUGGAUUCAUAAAGUGCAUUUUUUCAAUCUAGGCCAGAUUGAAAAAAAAAAAAGUGAUUAGAAAAUUUUUAUUCAUCCGAAAAUCAGAAUCAAAAUGGAACUGUCGUAUACCAAACAUCUACAAAUAGAUUUUUCAUUUCGAUUUUAAUUUCUGGAUAAAAAAAUGGCGAACCGAAUGUGAAACUAUCUCCUCAGCCGGUAGUCCUGCGAGUCUCAAUCAAUUUAAUUUUUUGGGCGGUGACGGGAUACAUGAUGGGAAAUGGUGGGCCCGCCGUGGUGCGGUGACUCAAUGUGCCACCACGUAAAGUUAGUAGUUAAUUUUAGAAAAAACUUUAAGCUACCGUUUGGUUCGGGAUUAAAAAAAAUUAGUUAUUCUAGAAAUAGAAUUAAGUUCGGGAUUAAGAUAGGGUUAAAGUAUUUUUGUGUUUUGUUGGAGGUUGGAGUUAAUCUAGAAUAGUGAAAAAUAAUAUUUGGUUGGAGUAGGUGGGAUAAGAAGGAUAGUGGAUUAUUAUAAAUAAAAAAUAGUAUUUGGUUGAUGUUUGGUAGGGUUAGGUGGGAUUAGCUAAACCGGAAUAACCCAUUUGAGGUGGGGUUAGCUAACCCUACCUAUUUUUUAAAAUGUUUGGGGAUAAUAUGGGGGUUAAGGGGUUAUUCCACCCCUUAACCCCCAGCCAAACGGUGGCUAAGAGUUGAGCUAGAGUGCUUUCAAAAACAUCAAAGAGAUGGUACUUUUGAGUUUUUAGUUUUUGGAUGAAGAAAUGUAGGGUUGAGAUGAUGGUGGUAGGUGAAAUAGUAUUUAAUCCAAAAACUAUUAGUAAUCAAGAAGUAGAUCUAAAGGCUAAAAAUUUAGAAGCACCAAGAAGAUGGUGCUUCUAAAAGUAUUCUAACUCAAUUCAAACUUUAAGUAUCAUCCCUGAUAUUGCGCACUUUUUUAUUAUAAUUUAAAAUGUACCACUUCAGUACCCUGUAAUUUUAUUUUUACUAUUUUCAUUAUUUUCUACGUUAAUUUUUUUGUUAAAUUAGUGACAAAUUAAAACCAUAUGGUAUUAAAGUGAAAAUUCGGUAAACCACAUAGUACUAAAGUGAAUAUUCGAUAAACUAUUGGUGGGAUAUCUGAAGUGUUUUGUAUAUGAUUUAACAUAGGGUUAAACGGAGGUACUGAGGAAAAGAAAAAAUAAAACCAUGAAAUAUUAAAAUGAUACACUUUAACACUAGGAUAUUAAAGUGAAAAAAAUGUAAAAUCACAUGGGUGGUAUUUGAAGUUUACCCUUAAUUUUAUGAUUUGGAUCCAAUUGGACUCUAGUUUGGUAAUGAGCUCUAAAAAUUACUUAAUUUUAUAUUUUGGAAAAAAUUAAAGAAUUACAAAGUAUUUUUAUUUUUUUUGUUAUGCAAUAAAAUUGCACUGAUGAGUGUCACUAGAAGAGCAUGUAUUUAUACUUCUAAAUUUUUUUUUACCAUUGUAAAAUAUAAAAUUAAAUAUUUAGAAAAUGCAUAAUCAAACUAGAUCUCUGUGGCAAGGGUCAUCUUCUUUUUUUUGAGAUAAUUUUGUACAUGAAAUUCGCAAUGUGAUAUAUUUUUGGAAUAAUUUCCUCAAUACCGUUCUAAAAAAAAAUAUAAUUUCAUAAAUAAAAUACAAAAAUAAAUAAAUAAAAUAAAAUAAAAAAAUAAAAAUUAUAUUAUUAUUUAUCAUAUUUAGAAAUUAUUUGAUUUCAUGUAAAACUAGUUCAAAGAUAUAAAAUAUUAUAAUAAUAAAUAUUAAUUAAUAUUUUUAUCUUAUUAUAUUAUCAUAAUUACUAAUUAAAUAAAUAUAACUAAAAAUAAUUUAAUAAUUAAAUUAAUUUAAAUGAAAAUAAUGUAAAGUGGUAUAUGUGUGAUGUAAAAUUUUUUAAGAGGUUAUUAGUAAUAAAAUUAUUUAAUAAAAGCACAUUGUCAAUGAUUAGAAAAAAAUAUUAAAAUUACUUAAAUAAAUCAAUAAAAUAAUAAAAAUAUAAAAUAAUAGAGAAGAUAUUAUUUUGUGCACCAGGUGUAUGAGAAAAAUUGAAAAUCUAAUACACAAUACCUUCUUAAAACCCAGAAAUUCUAUAAUUCUAUAAAUUCUAUAUUUUUUUUAUAUAGUUUAGAUUAGAUUGCGCGUAUUGGAUUAGAUUUUGAUUUUACAAUAUUAAUCAUUAAAAAAUAGAUUUGAUGUAGGUAAUUUAUCAGUAGACCGGGUGUAGGCAAUAAGUUUUCAUUGUUAAGAAGGGAAAGUUAGGACAAUAUUUUACGCACCAGGUGUAUCAGUAAAUUUUAUACACUUCAUUCUUAAAACCCCAUUAUAAAAAUUUAAGCCGUGAUAAUUUUUUAAAUAUAGACAUUUUAUGUAGAGUAAAUCAUAUCAUAACUAUUACAAAUUUUGUAUUUUUAUUUUGAAUUUAUUAUGUAAUAAGUAUUUGUGUUUUCAUAUCAUGCACAUAUGGGUAUACGUAUUCGAUCCAGACUCAAUCCGUAUUGGAUUUUGAGCAGGUAGUAUACAAAUAAUCACUAUCCAGACCUGCUCAACUGGAUCCGAUUGGUACAUUAAUAUAACUUAAAUAUCCAGAUCCAAACUAUUCCGAAGUUGAAUAGAUAAGGUAUAUUUUUUUUCUACCCAUUUUUUAGGAUAUGAGUAUAGUAUAUUACCUAUACAAAUCCGAUUUGAUCCAUAUACAUCUCUAUUGGCACGGCGGUCAUGUAUCUUGUGGAUAUUUUGUCGGCAUAGUGGCCAAGGCUCUUGCAGAUGAACACUUAAAUCCUUAAUCGAACGUUUUCUUCUACUUUAUGGGGGAUUUAGAAUUCACUUUACUACUUAAUUUUUUAAAUUUAUUAAAAAAAUUGUAAUAUUGGGUAGAUGAACAGUGUGAUGCAAUAUCUUAAGUAAAAUACAAUCUUGAUCUUCAGUCAUUAUUUUCGAAAUAAAAUAUAUUAUAUUUGUAAGUGAAAUAUGAUAUUCUACCAAAUAAAAUGAGCAAAAUUCAAACUCUUUGCUUCCAAUCACAUAAAAAAAAAAAAAAAAUUUAUAGUGAAAAGUUAUUAUUAGAUAACUUAUUCUGACAUCUAAAGAAUAUUUUUUGAUGGUAACAAAGAUUACAUUCUAGUCUUUAUUGCAUAAAUGAGCCUAAAUCUAUCAAAAUCUUGCUGCCACUCCGUCAGUCUAUUUUACUUGCAAUUUGCUUUGUUGAAGGGUACAAAGAAAAUCGGAAGGUGGAAGAGAAAUCCAAAUUAAUUUGCAAAAAAUAUUCAUGACUUAGAAAUUUUCUCUAAAAUUCUUCUUUACAAUCUUUCAAACUCUAAAGGAAAUAUCUGUCGGAUGGUUGUAAAAAAUUUUAUUAUGAACCACUCUAUGCGAUUGUCUAUGUUUAAUAAGUUUGUACCUUUGAAACUACUUGCAAUUGCUUCUACUCGUUUUGCUUCUUUUGUGGUGAUGCUUAAGAGAUUUAAACUUGUAAAAUGAGGUUUUCAAUCCAUGGUAAUUAGCGAUGAAUUAUUAUCAUACAAAGAAGAUGAUAUUGAAAAAGCAUUUUUUGUGAAGGAUAAAAUACUUGAUGAUAUAUGAUGAGACAAAAUUGACUAUAUCCUUUUAUUUACCAACCCUAUUUAUGAUGUAUUACGAAGAGGAGAUACAGAUAAACCUUGUCUGCAUUUAAUUUAUGAAAUGUGGGAUUCAAUGAUAGAGAAGAUGAAAGCGGCAAUAUAUCGACAUAAAAGAAAGCAAGAAGAUGAGGAGUCACGAUUUUACUCUAUUGUUUAUGGUAUUCUCGUUGAUCGAUGGACAAGAAACUGUACUCCUCUUCAUUGUUUGGCACAUUCUUUGAAUCCAAGGUAUGAUUGUCUCACUUUAUUUAUCUAUUAUUAGUAAAUUUUGUAAGCAAAUUUUAGUAAUAAUAUUUGUAAAUUUGCAAGUAUUAUAGUAAUAAAUGGCUUAAAGAAGAUAAAAACCGAAUACCUCCGCAUAAAGAUGUUGAACUUGUUGAGAAAAGAAAUAAUUGUUUGAAAAGAUAUUUUCCCAAUGCAAAAGAAAGAAGAUUGGUAAAUCUUGAAUAUGCUGCAUUUUCUGGUGCUGUGGAACCAUUUUCAGAAAGUGACUAUCUUUAUGAUAGAGUGGUGAUGGAUGCCAAAUCAUGGUGGCUCAUUCAUGGUGCACAUGCACCAAACUUGCAAAUAGUUGCUCUUAAAUUACUUGGACAUCCUAGUUCUUCUUCUUGUUGUGAGAGGAAUUGGAGUACUUACUCAUUUAUUCAUUCAUUGAAGAGAAACAAUUUAGUACCACAACGAGCAGAAGAUUUAGUAUUUGUUCAUACAAAUUUACGACUUUUGUCAAGAAGAAAGCAACAAUAUCAAGAAGGACUUACUAAGAUGUGGGAUAUCGCGGGAGAUAGUUUUGACUCUUUUGACGAUAUUGGCAUUCUUGAAUUGGCGAAUCUCUCACUUGAUGAACCAAAAUUAGAGAAGUUUAUGUUUACCGAUAAAGAUCAUGAAAACGAAGGUGAUGAAAGUAAAUAGGAGUAUUUUUUUAUUUUACUUGUUUUUUAGGCAUACGCAAUGUUUGAUGAUAAACAUUCUGGCUUUUGUUUGGAUGAUCUAAUUAAAUCAUAUUUGGACCAAAUUUUAAUUUUAAAAGUACUAUAUUAAUUUUCAUUCUUAUAAAAAAUAUAGUUUUGUUUGCAAAAUUAGUAUAUUACAUAUAAUAAAUAUGUAUUGUUAUACUAAAAAUAUUAUAUUUUAUUAGCUGUGUCCUUGCCGUGUCCAUGUCUUUAUAUUUUGAAUUUUGCCGAGCCGCCGUGUCCGAGUCAUGUCAUGUCCCGUGUCCGUGGCACAUAGCUUUCACCUCAUCAGCAUUUCGCGCUGAGUCGCAAUUUGUGCCUCCAGAAUCCGCCUAUCAAAAAUUGUACAUCAGAAUUUCGAAUGAUUAAGCUGAUACCUACAGUGCUAUCCUGUGAUUUCCAAAAUGCCCAGAAACGGAUCCAGAUGAUCAUAUUUUUUUGCACUCAGCACUUUACCACUGCUGGGAGAAGCUUCUGUAAUUCAGCAAAAAUUUAAGGUCAGCAUUGCCAGAUGGUGCAGAGUGCAGGGGUGGUUUUCACACUUUUAACUAAGUUUCUAAGAACAAUUGUAUGAGAAAUAUUUGAAAGCUCGAGGGCUCGAUCAACACAAGAGACAGCAGAUUAAGUGAAAAUCAUUGACCCAAGGAAAUCAUAUCCUUCCACACAAACCAAACAUGCUUGCACCAAAAACAUCAGCAUACGAGUUCAAUGAUAAAAAUAGAAACUGAAUUUUAUAACAUGAGACAACAAUUUCCUUCUUUUUCCUUUUUUUUUUUUUCCUGGCCCCCACUUGUUUGUACCAGCAGUAGUAGAAUUUCAGCAAGUCUAUAUAUACAGCUGAAUGCAAGAGGAGGUCUCUGCAUCCCAAGGAUGGCGGAGAUAGACAAAUAAAUCUACACCAUGUAUGACAAGCUCCACAAGAAUACUACAACUUACACUUUACAAAUAGGCUAAACUACACUUUUAGUCCUCAAACUAUGAGGUGCCUGAUAGUUUGGACCUCGCGCUUUAAUUUAUCGCCAUUUAUGGCUCGAACUCUCUACAUUGUUGCAAGAAAGUCCUACGACCAAAUUUAGUUGACUAAAUGUUGGCACGUCACUAAUGUGGAAGUUAUUUACCAUCUUAGUUGUUCUCGCGUUAUCAAUCACAAAGCUGUUGCAACACUUCCACAUUAACAACGCAUCAAUAUUUAGUUAGUUAAAUUGGAUUGUAGGACUUGAUUGUAAUAAUUCAAAAAGUUCAAGCAAAAAACUACAACUUCUAAGGUCCAAAGUUUCACGUGCUUCGUAGUUUUGAGGAUCAAAAGUAUAAUUUAGCCUUACAAAUAGCUAGAUAGAUAGUAUAUCGGCCGCAUAAGCAGUCCGUGGAGAGAGAUAUCGACUACACUGUAUCAAGCACCCACACAAUGUUCCCAAACUGCAUCACUUGAGUCGAAGCCCCCUCCUCUAUUCUUCUGAUCAUAUUUUUCUGUAGGUGCAUGGUUCACCUGAAAAUGCAGAGCAAAGUAUUGUAAGGGAGAUAAGAGGAGCCAAAAUGUCAGAGAGGAGUAUAGCAACUAAACGAAGAGAUCGAUCAUAUAAGCAAAUAAUUAUAUAGUUAUAUAUAGUGCAGUAUUUUUAUAAAAGCCAUCAGAAGGUAAAUCUUUCUAAUUGGUUAAGCAGGAAUUGAGAAGAUAAGUCAUUUUCACACGUCAAUGUGGGUUUAGGUAGAUUUUUGUCUAGCUCUUCUUUCAAAAAUAUAUGUAGAGGAAUAUCGUUAGAGUUCUCAUUGUUUUGGAUAGAAUCCAAAUGCCAUAUCCACAUAUCUAGUUCGAGCCGUCCAUAGUGAGGCAUGUUAUCUGGCAACUCAAGAAGGCAGUGCUUGGGUUUGAGUAGGCAAAGAAACUCCAGCUCGAAUGCAAAGUGCUUUUUCGUGGAAAGAUUAGUAUCCAAAUUUGUAGCUCACCAAGCACUCAUGCUUGGAGAGAGCCACACUUCGCAUUUCCAACUCCACAUGAAUGAUGAAAAAUGGGUGAUAGAGAUCCAGAUAGGUCGCGUAGAUACGAAAAUGUGCUUAUAAGAAGGUUUUCUUAUUUCUCCUACAAGUUGAAAUGCAAAGCAAGGUGUGACAAUUCGUGCAGCGUGAUGUCUGUCUCUGGUUAACAGAAUAACAGGCGAUUAAUAUCGGUGCCUGAGUACUACUAUGCAUAUACCAACCAUCGGACAAAAUUCAGAUGCGGCGCAAUACCAACAUAAUAUAAGAGCUUGCUUCAAAAUCAACACAUCAAACAACUAAUCAAAGAGUAAUCGAACCUUUGUUUUUUUCCUCUUGUCAUGGGAUUUCAUAGUUGGCACUAAUUCAGAUGCACCAGGACUGUAAGACUGCACAGAGCUAUCAUUUGCACCUCCAACAAAGGAAACAUUAUUCAAGGACAUGGCAUCAAUGUCACGCUUCAUUUUUCUAGCUGCAGUGUUCCCAUCUAUUGACAUGAAACUUCUGCCUUGUAAACUGCCGUAUGUCGCUGCAGCUAAAUCUUCACCAAGAGCACCUCUAGAACCGCAAAAAGGAGCAGAAACCGCCAUCCCGUCCAUCAUGGUAACAACAGAUCCGAUAGCAUUAACUGCACAACAAAGAGCCUCGGGAUUUGCUGAUUGAACCUGAAAGAUUCAACACCAUUAGAAAAAUUGAGUUGCACAAUUUGAAAAAUACACUAAAUCAAGCAUUAACAUUUAAAAGUGUGACUUGACCAAUUUCACAUCAAACAGAGUCUGUCAACUCUAUAGAGAAGGCACCAGAUUUUGAGCUAUUUAAGAGACUUGAAUUUUCAUUGUCACUACAACAAAAUAGACAUUUAGCGGCAAUUAUCAAAUAGCCGUUAUUAUUUAUUACUGAUUUAUAUUUUAGCGGCAAUUAUUUUAAACUAUACCUUUUUUACCGACUAAUAAUUUAUAUUAAAUACAUCUAUUUUGAACCCAAUACCACUCUAACCUAACCCUAACCUGAACCCGAACCAUUCUCACACGAGCAGCCUCUAAAGUACUACACCUUCUCUCCCUUCCCCCUGCCUCUACCUCAUCCCGCGCGAGCUCGAGCUCUCCCCCUCUCCUUCACCUCCCCUCUCUCCUCCCGUCCUCUCUAAGUUCCGAUCCCAUCCCCAAACCGCCAUCACUUUCGCCCCCGACCUUCUCGGCCCCCGAUCUUCUUGGCCCCGCGUGCACCGGCGCAACGUCGCUGUCGACCACCUCGAGCACCACCACAUCAUAGGCGUCAUCCACUUCACCGUUGCCGACAACGACUAGGAUCUCUAGUUCUUCGAGGCGAUCAGCUACAUAAAGUACGCAUCGCUCCUUUCCCCUCUUGGAGAUUAAGUGUUGAUAGAUUGGGAGAAAAGAGGAGAUUGCGAUUUGGGAGAGAAAAUUGACCUAAAUAAUAUAUUAUCAUGAGGAUCUUACAAAACUAAUCAAUCUUACAAGAUGCAUAAUAGAUAUCUGCACACUUAGUAAAUCAAAAAACUUGAACAUGUAUUCUCGGAUAGCUAAACUAGAACACGAGUAAAUUUUGUCCGAUUGAAACUCGCAUAGCAAUUUUCAUCCGAGAUUGUACUUCAUGUGAAUUUACCUGAGAAUUGUACUCAAUCUGUUCAAUUAGUGGAAGGAAUACAUAGAUUGAUUGCUAAGGACAGUUGAAGUGUCAAAGAAGUUGUGAUCAUCUGUCACGCCCCGAGCCCGCCUAUUUGGUCGGUUUCGGGCACGCUAACAGACCGCCGAACGAACAGGGUUUUCCCUGUACCGCGGACAGAGUCUCCCCUGUACGUCCAAGGCGUCACAAUCCAAACAAUGCAAUACACGAGGUUCAACCAGGAACAGUAUUCAAACAAGGAUUGCAUAAGAAAGUAUCAAAAACAUAAAUACAACUAUACUAUUACAAGCAUUCAUCUCAAAUUUUACAUAUUACAUGCAUCUUACAUUUUAAUCUUCCAAAUACAAUCCAAAUUAUUACAAAUUAUUACAACUUUGAUACAUCUUGUUCUUUUCUAUUCCUAUACCCCUAGGCUAUGCCGAUACGGAGUACUGCUAUCUCUGGUCUCUGGGGUAGGGCGCUAUCUACGGAGCUACGCUCUUUCCUUGCGCCGCCGCGCCGCUCGCGUGUGAACCUGUAACCCCUAAAACCACACGGGGGUGAAAACUAUAUAAAUAUAGUUCCCAGUAGGUACGGCCACCUAAGGGAAAAGCUCGACCCACUAGGUCCAAGGAGGCACUGCAAUCAUGUUAGUCCAAAAGAUAUCCACAAGUAUUUUAUGCAACAUUAAAAUACAUGAAUGUGCCUCACAAUAUGCAAUAUGAAAUUCAUGCAACUAUACAAGUAGAUUAAGCGUUUUUACUCUCUACCAUUGCCAUUCUUUAUUGUUAGACAUUCUUUACUACUUGCAAACCUUUCUUAUUAGCCACUGUUUAUUUUUAACCAUUCUUUAUUCUUAGCUGAUCUUUAUUCAUAGCCGUUCUCUAUUCUUUACUAAGGGUUCUCACACCUUAGCCAUAUUAUGCUCAUUUGCCACUCUUUCCUAAGGUUACUCUUACCUCAGUCACACUAUGCCACUCGACUCGGUCUUGAAUCAAUCAACUGCGGAUAAUCCGCGCUCUGUCCGGCUCGAGGUGAAGAAACUCUCACAUACACCUCAACCAACCACAGCCUACCGCGCUCCAUGACUUAGCCACCCGGCGGCGAAAUCGUCGCACACGCCACUACAAUGGCUCAAGUCAACCGGCGGUAUAAUCCACAAACCGGCUUAACUAUCCGGCGGCGAAAUCGUCGCACACGCCGCGACAAUGGUUUAGCCCCGGGCGGCGAAAUCGUCGCACACGUCCCACACCCCUCUCGGUGUGAUCUAUAAGUUCUGGGAUUCUGGAAUCCAUUUCACAUAACUCAAGGGUUGGUCUUAACCCUCUAGUAUCGUCCUAUCUAGGUCCAAUGUCCCAUCCAUCCUAGGUCUAAUUGACUCUAGGUUCAAUUUCUUUGUCACAUAACCUAGGUUUACAUGACUCUAGGUUCAAUUCUCAACCUAUGUUCUUUAACACUAGAUUCAAUGCCAGUCUUGACCAACCUAUAUUUAUUAACACUAGGUUAAAUGCCACACAUGCCCAUCCUAGGUUCACAACACUAGGUUCAAUAUCACUAGAUCUACUUGACACUCCACUUGUCCACGUCGAGUAUCAUAGUUUACACAUUCUUAACUUCCAAUGUCGCAUUCUCUAAUACACCUAGAGUUAUCAACCUGUGUUCAACUCAUAUGAAUCAAGUAUAAUAUACAACUUGCCAACUUGCAUGUUAUUUAGCAUUUUUAUCUUAUAUCAAUAUGCAUUUCAUCUAGCAUAUAUUACAACAUGCACAUCUCAAUUAGCAUUCUCUACAACAUGUCAUUAUGCAUUCCGACUACCGACUAGCAUGUUCUUAUAAUGUUUACAUGCAUAGGUCAUUUCUCUUUUGCUCUCAACUAGCAUCAUUCACAUUAUGUCAUCAUGCAUUCUUUGGUCGCCUACUUAACAUUCACCUCAUGCAUUCAUAUAUUUUACCACUAGCUAUCAUUAUAUGCAUAAAUAUAAAACCAUAUUUUCUUCGACAUGAAGGCGACCUAGUCACUUCGGUGAGCACAACCCACCUCGAUUCGUACUCCGAUUGCUUGUAGUCACUUGCAAUCGGCCUCCCGCGGCACCCGUUGCCCGGUUCGGCCAGAACUCGCACUCGACCACCAAACGGCCACCAAUCCACAAUCCGAAAAUUAAAGGUCUAUAACUUGAUGCCACGAUGCUCCGGAUCCGUUCUCAUGAUUUUUGGACGUCGCCUCGGCCCUCCAGGCCAAAACGAAGCCAAAACGUCUGUUUCUUUAAUAUCUUCGCACCGGCUCGACGAAUCGCCAAACCGACUUCGCCAACGCGUUCGUAUACCUAGCAAUUAGGUUUCUAUAGGGUUAAUUUAGAUCAAACCCCUAUAUAAAGCAAAACCCCCAUUAUGAACCAUAGCCUCUAGACAUGCUCCAAUUAACCCAAGUAUUAAGAAUUUAACAUACUAACAACACAUUAGAGGCUAUUAGAACACUUAAGCAUAAGGGUUAAACCAAAUCCCAAAAGCUUACCAAAAUGUGAACGCCGAGACGGAAGCACGCCGCGCAACCAGACGCACGAAGACCCGAUCUGACGCUCCCAACAUGUUCGCAAGCUCGCUCUCCGCCAACAACGCAAAUUUGAGAGAUCUAGAGAGAUGAGAGAGAUAUUUAGAGAGAGAAAGGGAGGGUUUCUCUAUCCUCCAUGCGUGCGUGUGUGGGCUGGUGUAGUGCUCGACUGAGGAAAAAGGAGACAACUCCUUUUUACACAAAACCCCCUCAACAUUACACUAUUCACAUUGGCAGUUUAGCAACUCAGGUACAGAUAUUUUUCGCUUGCCCUUCUGAAUGUCCGUUUGAGCUCAAAUUUGACAGUCAGGCCAGGUUUUACUUAACGAAAGAAAUUUUAAUCUUUCAGUUUCGACCACAUUUGGUCACCGAAAGCUCUACCGAACUGAAACCUCUAGCAGAUAGCAGUCGGAUUUUAUUUUUCAUCUUUCGGGUGUCAGAAUAGCAUGAAACUUUAAAUCUAGCAUCAUAAAAAUAUUUCUGACAUAUCCUCCAGUUUUCAUAAUUUUCUGACACUGCAUUUUCUGCUAAAAUAUCAGCCCCGGUUCUAACAAAAAAUUCUAAAUCUUCUGUUUUCAUUCCGAUUUCAGCACAAGUCGCUUCCGACUUAUAUUAUACUUCUCUAAAUCAAAUAAAAAUAGUAUCUCACACUAUUUUUAUUUAUUUUUAUUUUUAUAUCAAAAUCCGGUAUAUUACACCUACUUAGGUUUUGUUUUGUCCUUUUUUCAUUAGAAAAGUAGCUAUGAAGGCAUGUAGAGUUCUGCAUAAGCUUAUUUAUCUAUAUUCAGUUUUGAGCUAUUUCAUACCUUGUGAUUUGCUUACAUUCGUCAUCAGGUAGUGGCAAGGUUUUAAGUGCCUGUCGGUAGUGGUUUAUGUGUAGCUGUUGUAGAUGUCCGAAAUCGUGAAAUUAGAUUCAUCAGACAAUUUUAUCCCUUUUGUCAGCCACAAUUUUGGGAAAAAGUUUCGUGUUUCUUAUGUAAUUUGGCUUUAUGAAUUUUGAAGCAGGUUUAGUUUGGCUAAUUUACUCUAUUAUAGUCUGGCAAUGAUCUCAAUGAACUCUUAAUUUGAGCAAUAAUUGGUCUAGGCAAGAAUAUAUUGACGUGAUUGUUGGUGCAUAGCGUGAGUGGAACUACAUUGGCUAGCACAUGAUAUAUAGUCCUUAACUAGUUCCAUUUUACGCCUCCAUACCAAAUGUGCAAGCACAGACUGUCAUUUAGCGGUUCCUCGAAAUUUGUUUUCAGUAUUUUUCUUUGCCUGUUCCUUUCAUACUAUUUCCUUCUGAAUUUAAUCCAAGUUAGGGAUACUGUAUGUAAAGUGGGAUGCUUUAUUAUGUAAUUAGGUGCCUUACUAAAUAUGUUAUUCACUUGGAACACUCAUUUGUUAUAACUUGGUAAAAUCUUCAUUCUUCUGUCAACGAAUAUAUAGUUCAUUAUAUAUAUCUACAUGCAUUUAUUGAUUGAUUGCAGAAGUCUCUUCUAGUGCAAAAUCACCAUUCGUGUACUUUGUCGGAGAGAUUUAUGGUGGCAAUGCAUUAAGGAUCACAAUUGCUAUGGGAAAUGAGAAGAAACGUCAAAGAGUCUACAAUACAAUGUUUCAUGUGCCCUGGAUAUGUGAACGGGUUCUUACUAAACUUGUUUUUGCCCCGAAUUUCAGCAGUUAGAGAGUCCUUGAAAAUAGGUAUAAUUUGUUCAAUGUGGCACUUUUAACUAUUUGUGAUUUGGCUUAUACAUGAUACAUAUGUAAUUGAUUUGGCUCAAGGGUGUAUCUCUUGUAAUGAUUGAUAAUUUUAGACAACAUGAACAUUAUACUCAGUUGUAGAGUCAGGGACAAAGAGAU